GACGAACCGAGCGAACGUUGUUCGGAAUCACUGGGCUUAAAGGGCGCGUAGGCGGGCUGCCGCGUCCGGGGUGAAAUCCUCCCGCCCAACGGGAGAACGGCCUCGGAUACGGGCGGCCUCGAGGGGGGUAGGGGCGUGCGGAACUGUGGGUGGAGCGGUGAAAUGCGUUGAGAUCCACAGGAACUCCGGUGGCGAAGGCGAGUCCCUGGACAGGUCCUGACGCUGAGGCACGAAAGCUAGGGGAGCAAACAGG
This 253-nucleotide ribosomal RNA is filed under the name uncultured bacterium. RNAcentral describes it as "partial 16S ribosomal RNA". It matches the Rfam family "Bacterial small subunit ribosomal RNA", at positions 524 to 776 of the family's 1533-position model. The record is from RNAcentral.